AACGCGUGGGUAAUCUACCUCUGAAUCGGGGAUAACCCGCCGAAAGGCGAGCUAAUACCGGAUAAUAUCUUUAAAACUUAGGUGUUUAAGAUUAAAGGUGGUCUCUACAUGUAAGCUACUGUUUGGAGAUGAGCCCGCGUACCAUUAGCUUGUUGGUAGGGUAAUGGCCUACCAAGGCCGCGAUGGUUAGCUGGUCUGAGAGGAUGAUCAGCCACACUGGAACUGACACACGGUCCAG
This 238-nucleotide ribosomal RNA is filed under the name uncultured bacterium. RNAcentral describes it as "partial 16S ribosomal RNA". It matches the Rfam family "Bacterial small subunit ribosomal RNA", at positions 112 to 334 of the family's 1533-position model. The record is from RNAcentral.